AGGCCCGAAAUGUUAACACGGGUGAGCUAGCGGCAAUUAAAGUAAUAAAACUAGAACCAGGAGAAGAUUUUGCUGUCGUGCAGCAGGAAAUCAUUAUGAUGAAAGACUGUAAACAUCCAAACAUUGUUGCUUAUUUUGGCAGCUAUCUCAGACGAGACAAGCUGUGGAUUUGCAUGGAGUUUUGUGGAGGUGGCUCUCUACAGGAUAUUUAUCAUGUGACUGGACCACUUUCCGAACAGCAGAUUGCUUAUGUUAGCAGAGAAACACUACAGGUAGUACGUUCAAAG
This is a non-coding RNA of Tinamus guttatus (white-throated tinamou), 287 nucleotides long. The record is from RefSeq and is a predicted model, not a curated record. NCBI's taxonomy places the organism in Eukaryota, Metazoa, Chordata, Aves, Tinamiformes, Tinamidae.